GCAGAGGAAGAUGGCGCCGCGGAGGGUCAGGUCGUUUCUGCGCGGGCUCCCGGCGCUGCUGCUGCUGCUGCUUUUCCUCGGGCCCUGGCCCGCGGCGAGCCACGGCGGCAAGUACUCGCGGGAGAAGAACCAGCCCAAGCCGUCCCCGAAACGCGAGUCCGGAGAGGAGUUCCGCAUGGAGAAGUUGAAUCAGCUCUGGGAGAAGGCCCAGCGGCUGCAUCUUCCUCCCGUGAGGCUGGCCGAGCUCCACGCUGAUCUGAAGAUACAGGAGAGGGACGAACUCGCCUGGAAGAAACUAAAGCUUGACGGCUUGGACGAAGAUGGGGAGAAGGAAGCGAGACUCAUACGCAACCUCAAUGGAAACCAUAUCAAAUAGAACCUCCCCUCUCUCCUAGUCAUCUUGGCCAAGUAUGGUCUGGACGGAAAGAAGGACGCUCGGCAGGUGACCAGCAACUCCCUCAGUGGCACCCAGGAAGACGGGCUGGAUGACCCCAGGCUGGAAAAGCUGUGGCACAAGGCGAAGACCUCUGGGAAAUUCUCCAGCGAAGAACUGGACAAGCUCUGGCGGGAGUUCCUGCAUCACAAAGAGAAAGUUCACGAGUACAAUGUCUUGCUGGAGACUCUGAGCAGGACCGAAGAAAUCCACGAGAAUGUCAUUAGCCCCUCGGACCUCAGCGACAUCAAGGGCAACGUCCUGCACAGCAGGCACACGGAGCUGAAGGAGAAGCUGCGCAGCAUCAACCAGGGCCUGGACCGCCUGCGCAGGGUCAGCCACCAGGGCUACAGCACUGAGGCCGGUGAGUGCCCGCCCGGGACUGUUGGUUCCCGAGGGUGGGGCCGUCUCUGGUUGUGCUUUGGGGACGAGCAGGCAGGUGCUUGUAGCGACGGGAACCUGGGCCUGUGGACGCAGCGGAGACCCUCGGCGCGCUCAGUCUACCCAGGGGUGGUCACGGGCCUUGCUCCCAGGAGCUGCUCCGUGAAGGUCACUCGCCGUCCCCAGCCUUGUUCCUGGAGACUAGCGGAGGGCAGUGGCGGCAGCGGGCCUGGGAGCAGCCCUUCCCAGCGUCUCCCCAGCCUCAGCAGCACGGCCCCUCCCAUGCUGCUGUUGGCCAAGAACAGAGACCACUUGUCAAACACAGCUCUGUCUCCAUCUCAUGCCACCCGCACUGU
RNAcentral lists this small RNA (1170 nucleotides) under Pan troglodytes (chimpanzee). Its description in RNAcentral is "retained intron". The record is from RNAcentral. Lineage: Eukaryota; Metazoa; Chordata; Mammalia; Primates; Hominidae.